Molecule: long non-coding RNA, 1173 nt
Filed under: Ictidomys tridecemlineatus (thirteen-lined ground squirrel)
Lineage: Eukaryota; Metazoa; Chordata; Mammalia; Rodentia; Sciuridae
Description: lncRNA (ENSSTOG00000030584.1)
Source: RNAcentral
AGCAAAUCGAUAUGGACAUGAUUUUAUUCUGCACAUGACAUUGUUCUUCAUUUGAUGCAACAAACAUUUAUUAGGCAUUUACUCUGCCCUUAGCGCUGAGUUAGGAAGGGAUCCAGGGACAAAAGCACAGACCUUGACUUCAGCUGGCUCACAGCCGGGUAAGGAAGACGCCCCAGAGGAUAAAUCCCAACUCCAUGGGCUCAGGGGGCUCCCAGGGGGAGCUGAGGGGGCCUCUGUUUUGGUGAGAAGGUGUGGUUGGUCAGCAGAGUCUGGUGCAUGGGCCACGGACAUACACCCAGACAGACAAAUGAAAGAAAGGCUUCUCUCAGGACCCAGAGGGAAGCUGUGGAAAUAAACGUAAGAGACAAGGGGACCUUGAACUCCAGAGCGCCCACACCACGUCCCCGACUGCAUCCUUACCUCCCUCCUCAGUCAGCUUCUCUGUCCCUCACCUGCUGAUACGUAGGUCUCUAGAACUUUCCAGCUCAGCUUCUGUCUUCACGUGGUUCCUUUUCUCUAGCAGAGAGAGAAGGUGAUCCACCCACUAGAUUUGCAUGACCUCAGGGGUCCACUUGGCUGAGGCCAGCCACCAGGGUGCUGAGGAAAGUACUUUGGACUUUAAAAGCAGAUUGCUUUUAGAAAAGAGGAAUAGGGGAGUGGUCACUAACUAGGUCUCGGUGACACUGGUUUCUAGCUCCAAAUUGGCUCCUAAGCCAUGAAGUAUCCAGGAGGAGCGCUCUUCCCUCCCAUCUCAGGAGCCAAAACAGAGAGUCACACUCUGCGACAAAAUACAUGGAGAAUGGGGAAGCCGCUGUCUGAUUUCUUUUCAUCUUCUCGAUGGUGGGAGGAUGCCAACAGAGCCCUGCAGGGCUGUGUGCCGGCACUGUGCUGAGCUCCCCUCCACUGUCACUCCUGGGCACCGGGAUCAUCACUCCAUCUCAGGACCUCCUCAGAGGAGGAAGCCGCCGUGAGGGCCUUGGGACAUGCAGCGGUGGCUUGAAGGCCAUCCGCCACCGAGCUGACGGAGGACACAGCGGCCCCUUCAGAAGGAAGACAGAAGACAGCGUCCACGGGGUGCUGAGGUUGGGUGUCGGGGCCAGCGGCAGGAAGCUGAGCGACGCCGCAUGUGGGAGAAUGGGACACCUGUGGCCGCCCCUCGCCGGUCGGACUUGA